GCUGCUCAACCGCCAACUCCCAACCACUUUGUCCAGGUUCAUCCCCCCUUGGGUGGAAGCCGACAGGGGCGUGCCUAUAUAAAGGCCCCUGUCUGUGCACUAGGGUUUCAUCCCUUGUGUGUCCAUUUCCCCUCUCCAGCCGCCACAUUCUUUUGAGCUCGAGCUGCUGUGCUGCAUCUCCGACCAGAGCCUCUGCGAGCACAGAGGUCUCUGGUAGCAGGCCUCCGGAACUUCUCCCGUCAAGCGUACUC
This 251-nucleotide long non-coding RNA is filed under the name Sorghum bicolor (sorghum). RNAcentral describes it as "long non-coding RNA (SBIC_LNC012273)". Lineage: Eukaryota; Viridiplantae; Streptophyta; Magnoliopsida; Poales; Poaceae. The record is from RNAcentral.